GGAAAUUUUUUUAUGGGUGCUUUAUUAAUUUUUCAUUUGGAAAAUUUUACCAAAUUGUACAAUCAUAGGCAAUGUUUUAAAGGGUUAAAGAUGACCUUGAGAAGUUUUGCCCAGAUGAGGCGAAAUGAGGCAUGAGCCUUGAGGUGAAAUGGGUGUAAGCCUUGAGGUGGAGCAAUGAGUUAACCAACCUCAAAUGCAGAACGAUGAAUAAGCCUCAACUUAGACCAAAAAAAAAAAAAAAACCUUUAGAAUAUUGCAAAAUAAGCAUCACAUAAACAUAGAAUGAUAAGAAAACCAUCAAGACCAUGUGAAGUGUUUGUUGUUUUCAGUACUGUGUAGUUAAAUUCCUCUUUUCGUCUUUGAUAAUCCAAUUCACUCUCAUGGCUCCAUCAAAUGAUCUUUAGUAUCACCAUCACUAUUAUUGCUCUAUUAUCCUCCCAUCAGUGUUGAUGUUUAACUCCAGUAGGUUGCUGCUGUCCUCUGAGGGCAAAAGACCAAGAGCCAGCCACUAUUCUCUUGCCCUCUAACAAAUCCUCUGUCUUCUUUUCAAUCUCUUUGUUUCUUUGCUCUUCUUUUCUCUUUCUUUCUUUCUUUCUUUCUUUCUUUCUUUCUUUCUCUUUUUUAAAGGGUAAGCCAAAGCCCAAGACCAAAU
RNAcentral lists this long non-coding RNA (652 nucleotides) under Vitis vinifera (wine grape). Its description in RNAcentral is "long non-coding RNA (VVIN_LNC006837)". The record is from RNAcentral. Lineage: Eukaryota; Viridiplantae; Streptophyta; Magnoliopsida; Vitales; Vitaceae.